Molecule: unclassified non-coding RNA, 508 nt
Filed under: Haliotis rufescens (red abalone)
Lineage: Eukaryota; Metazoa; Mollusca; Gastropoda; Lepetellida; Haliotidae
Description: transcription intermediary factor 1-beta-like, transcript variant X1
Source: RNAcentral
AUACACUGACAUAUUGUAACUGACGUAUUGUGUUCUGCAAGAGACAAAAAUGAAACUGUGUUUUUUUAUGUAUUCACAGAAAGACAGAUAGAUAGACAGACAGACAGACGCUUUAAGCAGCAUGCAAAAUUAGAUUGGGUUGUUAAUACAGACGAGGAACGGUGUCACUCACUGAGAGAUGUUCAAUGGUCCAUCCUACCACAUACAUUCUGUAAGGCCUCUGGGGAGCAAUUCAAACCAAGUUCGUCCCAUGUCCCCCCUGUGGACAUCUGACGAAGGUUACCAUCCCUGACAGUCCAGUAGAGGAGUGGAUGAGCCAGCUCAAACCACGCCGAGUAAUACAGGGGCUGAUGGACAUUUUAGAGGCAUCGCCAGAUCUUGAGGCUUGUAGCGUUUGCAAAGAAGAUGGGGAGAAAACUCCAGGAACAAUGUACUGCACCAUUUGUGAUGAUGUCUUCUGUGAUGGAUGUCUCAAGAUGCACAAGAAGAUGCCGCUGUUGCGUGAUCA